Molecule: ribosomal RNA, 498 nt
Filed under: uncultured bacterium
Lineage: Bacteria
Description: partial 16S ribosomal RNA
Rfam family: Bacterial small subunit ribosomal RNA
Source: RNAcentral
GAUGAACGCUGGCGGCGUGCCUAAUACAUGCAAGUCGAGCGAACGGACGAGAAGCUUGCUUUUCUGAUGUUAGCGGCGGACGGGUGAGUAACACGUGGAUAACCUACCUAUAAGACUGGGAUAACUUCGGGAAACCGGAGCUAAUACCGGAUAAUAUUUUGAACCGCAUGGUUCAAAAGUGAAAGACGGUCUUGCUGUCACUUAUAGAUGGAUCCGCGCUGCAUUAGCUAGUUGGUAAGGUAACGGCUUACCAAGGCAACGAUGCAUAGCCGACCUGAGAGGGUGAUCGGCCACACUGGAACUGAGACACGGUCCAGACUCCUACGGGAGGCAGCAGUAGGGAAUCUUCCGCAAUGGGCGAAAGCCUGACGGAGCAACGCCGCGUGAGUGAUGAAGGUCUUCGGAUCGUAAAACUCUGUUAUUAGGGAAGAACAUAUGUGUAAGUAACUGGGCACAUCUUGACGGUACCUAAUCAGAAAGCCACGGCUAACUACGUGC